Molecule: transfer RNA, 68 nt
Filed under: Arvicola amphibius (Eurasian water vole)
Lineage: Eukaryota; Metazoa; Chordata; Mammalia; Rodentia; Cricetidae
Description: tRNA-Gly
Source: RNAcentral
ACUUUCUUAGUAUAAUGAGUACAGCUGACUUCCAAUCAGCUAGCUCCAGCAAACUCUGGAAGAAAGUA